This 616-nucleotide ribosomal RNA is filed under the name Triticum aestivum (bread wheat). RNAcentral's name for it is "partial small subunit ribosomal RNA". The record is from RNAcentral. Lineage: Eukaryota; Viridiplantae; Streptophyta; Magnoliopsida; Poales; Poaceae.
GCAACUAGGUAGUCAAAGGUGCGCGAAGUCUUGGGAGCUCGGGGGGAGCUCCUAAACGAGUGGGCUGAGUGCGGCGGCGGGCUGAGGAGGGUUCUGCGGUGGCGGCUGAGGAGGGUUCUGCGGCGGCGGAUGAGGAGGGGUUCUGCGGCGCGACGGAGCUGCGGAGCUGCGGCCGCUAGAGGAGGCCGUAUGACCUGAAGAGGGGUCACCAGGGUGACUUGGUCCAACUCUUCACCUUGUUGGUCUCCCUCUUCCUCUGGAAACGUCCCAGGGAGCUUUAGCAGACAAACUCUCAGAGGAGCCAACGAAAACACAGACGCGAUGACGACUGAACAUCAACCUUAAAUACGAGGACAGUACAUGAGAGAAGUUUGUUAGCGACGCCUUGUAGUUCACUCCGAAAAGAGAUACAACGUAUUUAUCAAAUCGUACGAAUACAUAAGAGUAGUACGAACUUACAUCCGUACAGAACGGACCCUGUACACUUACGGCUCUUGGAUACUCUGUAAAAACCAAGGUUCAGUACGACUACACUCUCUUAUACAACGACAAUACACUGUCGCGUUAAUACACUACUAUAUAACUAAGGUUCAGUUAUCUUAAUACAACAAGUACA